Molecule: non-coding RNA, 76 nt
Organism: Fukomys damarensis (Damara mole-rat)
Lineage: Eukaryota; Metazoa; Chordata; Mammalia; Rodentia; Bathyergidae
Source: Rfam
UGAGGUUUAGCUCAAUGGCAGAGUGAGUGCUUCUCUAGCACACCUGAGGCCCUGGAUUCAAUUUCUAGUACCACAA